Hippocampus comes (tiger tail seahorse) is the source of this 2995-nucleotide long non-coding RNA. RefSeq lists it as uncharacterized. The transcript is spliced from 3 exons. The record is from RefSeq and is a predicted model, not a curated record. NCBI's taxonomy places the organism in Eukaryota, Metazoa, Chordata, Actinopteri, Syngnathiformes, Syngnathidae.
GUUCAUGAAGAAAUUGGAGACGGUGGAAAGCUCCAGGCCCAGCUGUUGGGAGAUGGUGAGCUGCAUCUCCUUGGAGGGACGGCGGUUCUCUCGGAAGAUGGCUACCAAGCUUCAUCACUGAGGAGUUUCAUGACGGGUGAGGACGGUGAAAGAAAUGUACGGUGGAGGCAGUUGCCAGAUGUUGCAUUGCUUUGACGUUGCUGGCUCGUGCAAUCUCACUUGAUUGUGAAGUUCCACAAUUGCAUCAUCGUUUUACUGGACACGCCAUUAGGAGACAACGGGGAGGAAAUAAGGAUUCAGGCCAACGGAAUGAUGUGCUGGUCCAGAGCCAGACAUGAAAUGAGGAGGAGGAGGAGGAGGAAACAAGGGAAGGAAGGAAGGAAGGAAGGAGAGCUGGAGCGCACCGAAGAGAGCAGAAGAGAGGAAAUCAAUAGCGAUUCAGAGCCAGUCAGAUAAGCCUGAACAAUGUAUAGUGCAGACACACUCUAUAACCCGCUCACACACACAUUCAUACACGUGAACACACACACACACACUGCACACCUCCGCGAAGACUUAUUACAAAGGCCAUAAAGCGAGCCCUAAAAUCAAAUGACACGUAGCUGCCGAUGAGGAUUUGCGGACAUGAGCGGAAAGCAUCGCGAGUGGCUCUAAAUCGGAUGCUCUCGGUGAGCUCCUAAUAUCAGCCGUGGCGAAACUCCUUUGUUGCACUUUGGCCACCCCCGGGUUAUAUUUUUGAGCAUUUUGCGGCUGUAAAUCUACACCAUGUUUGUCAGGAUGUUGAGGGGGGGGGGGGGUUCUCCCCAAACCACUUACACGCCCUUUCUCGUGCCACGAGGCCGCGAGAUGGAGCGUCAAACCACAGAUUUGACUUUGCUUACCUAGAAGAUGCUGUUACAAGCAGCUUACGCCGCCACUUUCCGCCCUGCCUUUCUUCCCCCCCUGGCCCUCCGUCUCCCUCAUACUUAUCAAUUAUUAAAGUCGCUAUUGAUCCUUUCGCUAGCCUGCCUCUAUCAGGCUGUUUCACACAAAGCGCAGACCUGGCUGCCUUCGCUCAAUCAAUGGCAUCUCGCAGCCUUUUUUUACUGUACGUGCAGCUCUUCUAUUGCAUGUCAUUUCCCCACCCAAGCCGGCCCGGGCGGGCCCUCCUCUGAAGUUUCAUCCGACUCGGAUCCCAAUGUGUGAAAUCCACCGAUGAAAUCUCAGAGAGUCGAGUCCGUCGUUAACGUGAGAGCGAGGUUUCGCUCGGCUCGGCUUUCACCCUCUGCCUCCUCCGAUCCAUUAGGCGUUCCGCUUCUUUCGAGCUAAACCAACUGGCUGCCUGUUACUAAGGUUAGCCAGCAGGCUUGUGUUUUCAUGACGUUACCGGCAUGAUGCGGAGCGUGGAGGGGGGAAAUGUAUAGAAAAGUGGGGGCGGGAAGGGGAGAUCGGGAAACGGCACUAUUGAUCUCCAAUGUGCAAAGCCAGGCAAACACAAAAAGGAUGGCGGUACACUAUUAAUGACACUCAGAACCUCAUUUGAUAAUCCACAUCCAUCCCAUCCAUCCAUCUAUUUAUCUCUCUAUUGACAUCUCUUCGUACGCUAAUUGGAAAAUGCUGGGAUUUUUUUUCGCCUCAUUUCUGGAUUAAUGUCAACAAAUAGAAUUGGUGUGAAGUUGAAUUAACACUUCACACGACACCGACAUCGUCUGCGGCAAGUUAAUACGAUUUCAACAAUUCUCCCUCUGCCGGGUUCUGCGUAAAAGGCAGAAAAAUUGCGCCGUCCUUCCGCACUACCUUGACGUUGCAGGACCUUGCGUGUAAAAUGAACUUCUCUGUCUGUUUUUCACGAUAGCCGACCUGUAUUGAGCGACGACACCUCAAGAAAUAUCGCUCGGCACACCAACAAACAAAAAAUGUCACACGCAAAAAAAAAAAAAGGCUGCGUCAAGAACUAAUGAGGAUCUCGAUUCGCUCGCAAAUGGAUUUGUCGGUGUGAAAUCUGAAGCUUUUGAAUCGAACACAAAGCUGGACUUGCCUGAAGUAACUUAUUCUGUUGUCUGAGUGGCUGAGAUAUCAUGACAAAGGUCAACGUUGUUUGCUCCUGGUUUCCCAAUCUUGUCAGCUAAUUAAUGCAGAACACCCGAAGAAGUUUUUCCUCAGCCUUUAAACAGCCUCGGUCUCGCGUAGUAGGCUUGACGAUCAUGGGGAAUACCACUGAUGUGACGGUUGCGCAAGAAUGGAGAAAAGCUGUCGAAAAGAAGCUGGAUGCUCUCAGAGCGCCGUAUCCAAAGUACAUGACCGGAGUGUUAAGUGGAAAAGGGGACACGUGGACGGAAAAGGUGCACAAGUGACAGGGAUUGCCAGAGCAUUGUCAAAGCGGUGGCGAUUCAGAAAUCGGACAGAGCUUCAUGUCAGUGCGUCAAGAAUCGCCACAUAGCGACGUCGGCAUGACACACAGGCUGCAAGCUAGCUGUAGAAUUCCACGCGUCAAGCCACUCCUAAACCCAAGACGUGAGAAGCGUCUACGCUGGGCUAAGGAGAGAAGAGUACUCGUCUCUUGGACUUAUUCAGAGGCAAGUCCGUUUUGCAUUUGCUUUAGAAAUCAAAGUCGGCAAGUCUGAAGGAAAGCCGGGGAAGCGCAAAAGUCAAGCUGCUUCAAGUCCAGUGUGAAGGUUCCUCGGUCACUCGAGGAGAGCCACGUCAUUUGCUGGCGCGGUUCCAUUCUUUGUCUAGUCCACAAUCAACGCAUCUGUUGACCAUGAAAUUUUAGAGCACCACUGAGAUUUUUGGACACCGGUGCUUUUUUAUUUUCCAGCGGGAUUUGGCACCUGCCCACAAAGCCCAAACUACCAAUACUUGAUUGGAAUAACAGUACUCGAUUGGCCACCAAAUUUGCCUGAUGUGAACCCCAUCGCAAAUUGAUGGAGUAUUGUCAAUAGGAAGAUGUUGCCACACCACUUUGAUGCUGUCAUGAAUGCAAAAGGAAGCCGCCCCCCCUUUUUUUUUUUUUUUU